AUACCAUGGCAGAAUGAGAUGAUUGAGAUGGAUUGUUUUAAGGAACUAAAUGUGUUCAAUGAAGAUGGGGACCCCCCUCCUGACCUGAUUGAAGAACUUCCCCCUCCCCCGCCCCGGGGUGGGCUUUUUAGCAGGCUCUUCAGAAGGCAGAAUCGCGAGGCUCACUGACGUUGGGGAAAUGGUGGUGCUGUCGGCUUCCAUUGCUGCGAUUAAGAUCCUCCAAAAAGUAAAUUUUAAAAACAAACACGUGGACUGAACUUGCUAACUAUUGUGUCAGUGAACAGAGGCAAACCACCAUGUUUUUAUAUUACGUACAAACUCAGGCUGGGACGUGGAGAUAGAGAGAAGAAAAAAAAAACGCUGUAGAAAAAAAAAAUUGAUACAGUGACCGGAUCAUUUUUUCUUUCGUCUCAACUUUCAAAUCAAAAAUUGUCGACGGACAUCAGGAGGUGUGGACAAUUUUUGGAGGACUGAAAUUUUGCUCGGACUUGCCAGUAUUGUCUCAUUAAGAUGAAGAAAAUAUCUUACCCGUAUAUCUUUUGUAAUAGUGUCAUAGGGCGAUUGAUAGGUGAAAGUACAAAUGUGUGUUUGUAUAAGAGAAUGAUUCAUAUUGGUUGAAUUUUUCUAUAUAUUAGAAUCACUUUUAAAUAUUUUUAAUUAUUGAUAGAGAUUAUUCUAUGUUCAUGUUGUGCCCUGCCCCCAAAUUAUGUUUAUUGUAUGUGUGUGUGAUGAUUAUAUACUUCAAAAAGUGUUAAACGUUUUACAUAGGAGGGACCCCCCUCCCCCUCACACAUUCACCAUCCACCAUACUAAAGCCUUUGUUAUUGAUGCCUCUGCCACAGUUACCAUUAAUUUCAGCUUCCUAGAAAUAUAAAUUUGGUUCUGAAUCUUCUAAAGGAAUUUAAAGUCUGUGGACAAGUUUUUUUUCUUUCAUGAAAUGAUUCCAAUGUUUAAGUGUAUUAUCUUUUUUCCCCCUGCAAAUUGGUUGAGAUUUAUCUUCAAGUUUAUUUUUUAAAUCAUGGUAUGAAAAGAUUUCUAUAGCAAGGGUAUAAUUUUGACGUGGAGUAGAAGAGAAAAGGCAAGGUGAAGAAAAAAAAAAUCAUUUUUUCUACAAGGGAUUCCAUUUACAGUGUAUUUAUGAGUCCUUUUUUUGUCAAAAAAAUUACUUACAUGAAAGUAGUGCUAAAAUACUUAUUUCUAGAAUGGUUUAUAGUUAAAGGUAGACUAAUGUGGCAUGUUUAGUUAGGAACAUUCGCAGGCUACAUCAGCAGGAUCAAUUUGCCAUUGGAUUUGUAUUCAAAUUGUUAGUGCUGCAUCAGAGCAAGGGGAGAGUUGUUUUUUGGGAGAAAUUUGUGCAACAUUAACUGAAAUACAUCAUGGAUCACACUUGAAUUAAACAUUUUAUAACAAUUUUAUAUAAAGCCAUUUGGAAUUGAUUUCAUAUGAGAAUUUACAAGUAUAAGAAAAAAAUUAAAUUUGACACCAAUUUUAAGUAAAAUACACUAUUUUCAACAGAUUUCAUGAAAAUUUGCACUUUUUUCCCCUUGGAAACAUUAUUUUGCAAUCAGAUUAAAAAGGACUUUUCAAACCUGACAAUGCUCUAGCUUUAAGUAGUCAUAAUGAAGUUUAGUUUGUAAAGAAUCUCAAGUGGGAAUCUCCAGUUUUAAUUAUAGAAAUGACAUCACUUCCUGUCAGGAAACUGGGAAUUAGUAAAUCCCCAUGAAGAGCAUUUUGGAGCUUUGAAUUCCGAUUUAGUGCAUGAUAUUUUGGAAUUUUUAUAAAUAUCAAGGCUGAAAAUGUAUGAAAGAUUUCCUUUUAUUCCUUACAAAGAUUGCCUUUGAUUUUCAAUUCAUGAUGAUUUGGCAUUUUAUUCAUUGAAUUUCUGCAUAAAUUGUUUUAAAUUGAUGGUUUAAUUUAAAAGAUAUUUUUUAUAGCAAAAUGUUUGUAUAUACAUAAACACGUUUGUGUCAUAUCAAAUGCAUUUCAAGAAUUUAAAGACAAACCAUGAAAAUACAAAACUUCAUAGAACUAGGCUGCUGGUUUCAGUCUUGUAUUUUUUAAUUGUUGAAUGAAAAAAAUAUUUAUUGUAUGGUACUUGUAACCGAAUCCAGUACAAGUUUUCUACUUGAUUCUUUGUACAGAUGACAUUGUAUUUCAAUAUUAUUUGAAGAAAAAAAAUGCACAGUUUUUGAAAGUUCAUUUGCCAGCACACUGAAACAAACCUUUUUUGUGGGUAUAUUCUUUGUGUCAUUUUUGAUUUUUUUUUUCAGCGGUUUUAUUAAGUGGGUAUUUAAUUGAUAUUCCUUUGCGCGCUAAACCCUUUUUUUCCUUUUUAAUAUGUACAAUGUAUUAAACGUUUUCUUUGCUUGGCUUCUAGCAUUCGACACCCUUUCCUUUCCAAGGCUUUUGCACGUUUUCUUUCAUGCAAAAUAUAUACUGGAAAAAAGUUGCUCAAUAUUUAAGUGAUUUCAGUAUUUGUAGGUAAGGACAUUUCUCAGAAUUCUUUUGAGAGAUGAAUGCCAAAGCAAUAUCUACACAAAAUACACGUAGUAAAAUCAUUAUAGUACUUGGGGUGUCUCAGUCCCUGUACCAUCAUGACUCAGAAGCACUUUUUGCAGAAUUUUUUAAGCACAGUGGACAAAACAUCAAGAUGGAAAGACAUUUCCACAGUAUUGGCACGAUUGAACAAUUAAGAUGUGUACUAACACUAUUUAUUUUAAGAAGGACUAUAAGGUUCCAAAUGUCUUGUUAGCAAGGCAAACAUCGGUUGUGCAAUGUAUCUUAAUAUUUUUAUUCUGUGUGCUUAUGAACAUUUGGAAAAUGUCAAAUAUUGAGUUUGAUAAAAAUGCUUCCUGAGUAUUUUAACCAAUAUUUGAUGCAUGUUUCACUUCUGUAUUUGUAAGCUUGAAGUAUAUAUUUUUUUGUUGAGUUAAAAAAGAGAAAAUUCAUCUGUAUUAUAGCUAGGUUUAAGAUGUUACAAUACAGCAUUCAUAAACAUAUCUGCCUCAGAUGUUUUAACUGAUAAAUUCUUAUGUUUAAAAUUGAAUAUAGUUUAAUCUGAUUUUUUU
Molecule: long non-coding RNA, 3068 nt
Organism: Saccostrea cuccullata (small rock oyster)
Lineage: Eukaryota; Metazoa; Mollusca; Bivalvia; Ostreida; Ostreidae
Exons: 3
Source: RefSeq, a predicted model, not a curated record